AUAAAAGUUUUGAUAAGAACUAGUAGAAUAAUUCAGGUGAACAGAAAGUUGCCGGUUGUUGAGAGGCGCAUAAACCUAUGUUAUUUGAAUUCCUCUUUGAACUUCACACCGAAUAAAGUAGGCUGUGCCGGUUAGUGUACCCGUUAUAGUACAAAGGUAUAAUUUUGUACCUGAUAAGUCAAUGAGUGUAAGCUGAUUGUAAACAAAGGUGGUAACACGGAUCGUUCGGUCUCGUCCUUUUC
Molecule: non-coding RNA, 242 nt
Filed under: Enterococcus sp.
Lineage: Bacteria; Bacillati; Bacillota; Bacilli; Lactobacillales; Enterococcaceae
Description: T-box sequence
Rfam family: T-box leader
About the family: Uncharged tRNA acts as the effector for transcription antitermination of genes in the T-box leader family.
Source: RNAcentral